GUGAAUCAUCGAAUCUUUGAACGCACAUUGCGCCCCCUGGCAUUCCGGGGGGCACACCUGUUCGAGCGCCAUUUCGACCCUCAAGCAUGGCUUGGUGUUGGGCGCGGUCCUUACCGACCUGCCCGUAACUCGUAGGCGGCCGCCGCCCGCGCCCCCAGCGUAGCAAGCUCACGCGUUCGCUCGGGGACGGCGCGCCCGGCCGCCCACAACACUUUUCAAGGUUUGGCCUCGGAUCAGGUGGGGAUACCCGCUGAACUUAAGCAUAUCAAUAAGCGGAGGA
This 280-nucleotide unclassified non-coding RNA is filed under the name fungal sp. RNAcentral's name for it is "partial contains 5.8S ribosomal RNA, internal transcribed spacer 2, and large subunit ribosomal RNA". The stretch from base 1 to 71 matches the Rfam family "5.8S ribosomal RNA", at positions 84 to 154 of the family's 154-position model. Lineage: Eukaryota; Fungi. The record is from RNAcentral.